GCCCAACCACCACACUGUAAGAACCCAUACAGGAAUGUAGGUAGACAUUUCACAUGACAGCUUUGGUGGAGCUCCUAGUGAGCACUCAGAAACAAUGGGGACGAGAGCGAGAAUGAUUCAACGUGCUUCCAGCGGCAAAAGUCAAACUGGCUAUGAGAGAAAGCUCGAGAGAGAUUGCCCAGCUAAAUGAAGGCCGCACCAGAAUCUGAGGUGCUGAUGCAACAUGACCAGCUCCCCUCAGGUUUCUGCUGCUAUGGCUUCAGUGCUAUGAUGGACUGUAACCUGAAACUGUGAGUUAAUGAUGGGGUUUGAGGUGUGUGCCAUUACCAACAGCAGAAGCGUGUCUCUAAGUGUGAUCUGCCCCCAGCAUCUUGUGGAGGUUCUUGUUGAAAAUGGAUGGACUCCUAACAUGUGAAAACUCAGGACCUCUGGAAGAGCAGCCAGUGCUGUUAACCACCGAGCCAUCUCACCAGCCCGGAAGUUGGUAUUCUUUUUAAAAAUACUUUUUUUUUAAAAUUGGUUCUUUGUAAAUUUCACAUCAUGCGCCCCAAUCCCACUCAUCUCUCUCUCCCCUCGUACUGUCCCUCCACCCUUGCAACCUCCACAACAGAGAGAGAGAAAAAAAAAAAACCUCA
Molecule: long non-coding RNA, 635 nt
Filed under: Mus pahari (shrew mouse)
Lineage: Eukaryota; Metazoa; Chordata; Mammalia; Rodentia; Muridae
Description: lncRNA (MGP_PahariEiJ_G0003985.1)
Source: RNAcentral